Triticum urartu is the source of this 126-nucleotide non-coding RNA. The record is from Rfam. Lineage: Eukaryota; Viridiplantae; Streptophyta; Magnoliopsida; Poales; Poaceae.
GAAGUACUCCCUCCGUCCGAAAAGGUUUGUCCCAAACUUGUCCCUCAAAUGGAUGUAUCUGGCUCUAACUUGGUGCUAGAUACAUCCAUUUGAGGGACAAGCUUUUUCGGACGGAGGGAGUAUAUG